Molecule: ribosomal RNA, 116 nt
Filed under: Pteropus alecto (black flying fox)
Lineage: Eukaryota; Metazoa; Chordata; Mammalia; Chiroptera; Pteropodidae
Source: RNAcentral
GUCUACAGCCAUGCCACCCUGAACAAGCCCAAUGUCUGAUCUCGGAAGCUAAGCAGAAUCUGGCCUGGUUAAUACUUGGAUGGGAGACCACCUAGGAAGACAAGGUGCUGUAGGCA